This 468-nucleotide ribosomal RNA is filed under the name uncultured bacterium. RNAcentral describes it as "partial 16S ribosomal RNA". It matches the Rfam family "Bacterial small subunit ribosomal RNA", at positions 28 to 507 of the family's 1533-position model. The record is from RNAcentral.
GACGAACGCUGGCGGCGUGCUUAACACAUGCAAGUCGAACGGAAAGGCCCUGCUUUUGUGGGGUGCUCGAGUGGCGAACGGGUGGGUAACACGUGAGUAGCCUGCCCUUGACUUUGGGAUAACUUCAGGAAACUGGGGCUAAUACCGGAUAGGAGCUCCUGCUGCAUGGUGGGGGUUGGAAAGUUUCGGCGGUUGGGGAUGGACUCGCGGCUUAUCAGCUUGUUGGUGGGGUAGUGGCUUACCAAGGCUUUGACGGGUAGCCGGCCUGAGAGGGUGACCGGCCACAUUGGGACUGAGAUACGGCCCAGACUCCUACGGGAGGCAGCAGUGGGGAAUAUUGCACAAUGGGCGGAAGCCUGAUGCAGCAACGCCGCGUGCGGGAUGACGGCCUUCGGGUUGUAAACCGCUUUCGCCUGUGACGAAGCGUGAGUGACGGUAAUGGGUAAAGAAGCACCGGCUAACUACGUG